This 460-nucleotide ribosomal RNA is filed under the name uncultured bacterium. RNAcentral's name for it is "partial 16S ribosomal RNA". It matches the Rfam family "Bacterial small subunit ribosomal RNA", at positions 338 to 795 of the family's 1533-position model. The record is from RNAcentral.
CCUACGGGUGGCAGCAGUGAGGAAUAUUGGUCAAUGGGCGCGAGCCUGAACCAGCAAAGUAGCGUGAAGGAAGACUGCCCUACGGGUUGUAAACUUCUUUUAUAAAGGAAUAUAGUGAGGCAUGUGUGCCGUUUAAUAUGCACUUUAUGAAUAAGGAGCGGCUAACGCCGUGCCAGCAGCCGCGGUAAUACGGAGGAUCCGAGCGUUUUCCGGAUGUAUUGGGUUUAAAGGGAGCGUAGAUGGGUUGUUAAGUCAGUUGUGAAAGUUUGCGGCUCAACCGUAAAAUUGCAAUUGAUACUGGUAGUCUUGAGUACUGUUGAGGUAGAUGGAAUUCGUGGUGUAGCGGUGAAAUGCUUAGAUAUCACGAAGAACUCCGAUUGCGAAGGCAGUUUACUAAACUGCCACUGACAUUGAUGCUCGAAAGUGUGGGGAUCAAACAGGAUUAGAUACCCGAGUAGUC